UCGAGCGGGAAUAGGUAGCUUGCUACCGAUUUCUAGCGGCGGACGGGUGAGUAAUGCUUAGGAAUCUGCCUAUUAGUGGGGGACAACAUUUCGAAAGGGAUGCUAAUACCGCAUACGUCCUACGGGAGAAAGCAGGGGAUCUUCGGACCUUGCGCUAAUAGAUGAGCCUAAGUCGGAUUAGCUAGUUGGUGGGGUAAAGGCCUACCAAGGCGACGAUCUGUAGCGGGUCUGAGAGGAUGAUCCGCCACACUGGGACUGAGACACGGCCCAGACUCCUACGGGAGGCAGCAGUGGGGAAUAUUGGACAAUGGGGGGAACCCUGAUCCAGCCAUGCCGCGUGUGUGAAGAAGGCCUUUUGGUUGUAAAGCACUUUAAGCGAGGAGGAGGCUACUUUGGUUAAUACCUAAAGAUAGUGGACGUUACUCGCAGAAUAAGCACCGGCUAACUCUGUGCCAGCAGCCGCGGUAAUACAGAGGGUGCGAGCGUUAAUCGGAUUUACUGGGCGUAAAGCGUGCGUAGGCGGCUUUUUAAGUCGGAUGUGAAAUCCCCGAGCUUAACUUGGGAAUUGCAUUCGAUACUGGGAAGCUAGAGUAUGGGAGAGGAUGGUA
This 608-nucleotide ribosomal RNA is filed under the name Acinetobacter baumannii. RNAcentral describes it as "bacterial SSU rRNA". It matches the Rfam family "Bacterial small subunit ribosomal RNA", at positions 62 to 663 of the family's 1533-position model. The record is from RNAcentral. Lineage: Bacteria; Pseudomonadati; Pseudomonadota; Gammaproteobacteria; Moraxellales; Moraxellaceae.